Molecule: ribosomal RNA, 227 nt
Filed under: uncultured bacterium
Lineage: Bacteria
Description: partial 16S ribosomal RNA
Rfam family: Bacterial small subunit ribosomal RNA
Source: RNAcentral
CUGAACCAGCCAAGUAGCGUGAAGGAUGAAGGCUCUAUGGGUCGUAAACUUCUUUUAUAUAAGAAUAAAGCGCAGUAUGUAUACUGUUUUGUAUGUAUUAUAUGAAUAAGGAUCGGCUAACUCCGUGCCAGCAGCCGCGGUAAUACGGAGGAUCCGAGCGUUAUCCGGAUUUAUUGGGUUUAAAGGGAGCGUAGGUGGACUGGUAAGUCAGUUGUGAAAGUUUGCGG